UUCCGAUCUGUGGAACAAAACUGCGGGAAGUCUGCAUAGAACCUUACCAGAGAGAUGGAUGCUAUAAAACUUGUUGCGAAACAACUAGAGAAAGAAGAUGACGACGACGACGAAGAUGACGACGACGACGACGAAGAUGAAGGAACCAUCAUGCAUCAUGAACUCCUUUCGUCGAAUAAGUAAUUAACCAAGGUAAUCUCGACUGUUGUCUCUUGGGUGAGCCUCUUUUUUUUUAUCUUUUAUCACAAUGCUUUUGCACUUGAUUUGGAUUUCGUCAUGAUCGAUCGAAGCGGAAAUUAAGGAAAACAAAGAGAAAUUUUUUUGUCUAUCACUUCAGUCACUGGUUGAUUAGGUCAAGCGAUGAACUUGACUGAAAAAAUAAUCUGGGUAACUUCGUUUUUAAUUUGGGUUCAGUUGGAUUGAUUGUGAUUUUUGUGUAGGAAAUUUGAGUUUAUUAAAUCUGAUUAAUUUGAUUUUGAAUCUGGUUUCCAGUGUUUACAUCUAAACAUGUGUGAUUUAAAAGUUGAUUAUGCCAGGUUGAAAGCUUUUUAGCAACUAGGGAAUAAGGAUGGAUUCUGAAACUAAAUUCUAGUAACUUCCCUGGCAGUUCUCUGGUUGUCACUUUCAUUUGUUAUAUCCUAAGCGAACUGAGUAUAAAAUUUUGCAAAACUAAUUUAUCCAUAGUAUGGUUAUACUUGGUUCUUGUAGGAGAAUCUAUGGCAGAUUCUGACGUUUGCUUUUUUUUUUUUUUUUCUUCUACGAAUAGUGGG
This 770-nucleotide long non-coding RNA is filed under the name Carica papaya (papaya). RNAcentral describes it as "long non-coding RNA (CPAP_LNC010530)". Lineage: Eukaryota; Viridiplantae; Streptophyta; Magnoliopsida; Brassicales; Caricaceae. The record is from RNAcentral.